Long non-coding RNA from Homo sapiens (human), 486 nucleotides. The record is from Ensembl. Lineage: Eukaryota; Metazoa; Chordata; Mammalia; Primates; Hominidae.
UGCUUCUCCUGUUCCAUAGGCACAAAGAUACAAGUGCCUGGUCGCUCUAGUCCUGCACUGUGAAAAAUCUCAACCCAGUUUUGCUUAGACCAGACAAAGGUGGUAGCUGGCUGAGAAUUAGCUGUAGAGCAGGCUGUGUGACCGAGCCGUCUGUGUGCAGCCAUGUUCAGAAGCCCAGGGUUUUCCAGCUAUUUGGGAGCUUUCAAAUUCUCUGAGAAACAAGGCUUCUGCCUGUAACUAUUGAACAGCCAAAGGCACUUCCUUAGGGGAAGGAGUUUCUAUUUCAACAAUAAAAACUUAAGCUUCAUUGGAUUCCCAUGUCAAAGGAAAGUUUCAAGAUAAAGUAGCCUUGUCUCAAGGACUGUUAAAUUUUGAAGAUUUGUCGUAGCUUUUAAAAUUAUUCUCUUGAAUAUCUAACUCUUAAGUUUCAAUGUUUGGCAAUAUGUUUUCUCCCUAGAAUUUGAUUUAUUAAAAUGUAUGAAGCAA